Molecule: non-coding RNA, 456 nt
Filed under: Drosophila persimilis
Lineage: Eukaryota; Metazoa; Arthropoda; Insecta; Diptera; Drosophilidae
Description: Eukaryotic large subunit ribosomal RNA
Rfam family: Eukaryotic large subunit ribosomal RNA
Source: Rfam by way of RNAcentral
CAACCUCAACUCAUAUGGGACUACCCCCUGAAUUUAAGCAUAUUAAUUAGGGGGAGGAAAAGAAACUAACCAGGAGUUUCUUAGUAGCGGCGAGCGAAAAGAAAUCAGUUCAGCACUAAGUCACUUUGUCUAUAUGGCAAGCGUGAGAUGCAGUGUAUGGAGCGUCAAUAUUCUAGUAUGAGAAAAUUAACGAUAUAAGUCCUUCUUAAAUGAGGCCAUUUUACCCCAUAGAGGGUGCCAGCCCCGUAUUACCGUAAAUGAUUACUAGAUAGAUGUUUCUCAAAGAGUCCUGGUGGCUUUGAAAGGGCAAGCAGCUAGAGUGGGUGGUGAACUCGCUUCGAAAACUUAAAUUAUAACCAUGGGACGCAUAGGAAACAAGUACUCGGCGAGAGAAAGUUUGAGAAAGACUUCUGAAUAAGAGAGUUAAAACAAGUAGGUGAAAACUGCCUUAGGAAG